GACGUAGGGCGCGAGCGUUGUCCGGAUUUAUUGGGCGUAAAGCGCUCGUAGGCGGCUCGUUGCGUCGGCUGUGAAAACCCGCAGCUCAACUGUGGGCUUGCAGCUGAUACGGGCGGGCUGGAGUUCGGUAGGGGAGACUGGAAUUCCUGGUGUAGCGGUGAAAUGCGCAGAUAUCAGGAGGAACACCGGUGGCGAAGGCGGGUGUCUGGGCCGAUACUGACGCUGAGGAGCGAAAGCGUGGGGAGCGAACAGG
This 253-nucleotide ribosomal RNA is filed under the name uncultured bacterium. RNAcentral describes it as "partial 16S ribosomal RNA". It matches the Rfam family "Bacterial small subunit ribosomal RNA", at positions 524 to 776 of the family's 1533-position model. The record is from RNAcentral.